Molecule: long non-coding RNA, 291 nt
Organism: Oncorhynchus tshawytscha (Chinook salmon)
Lineage: Eukaryota; Metazoa; Chordata; Actinopteri; Salmoniformes; Salmonidae
Exons: 3
Source: RefSeq, a predicted model, not a curated record
AGGUGGUGGUAGCUUCACCUUGUCCCCUGAUAGGAUAGGUGGUGGUAGCUUCACCUUGUCCCCUGAUAGGAUAGGUGGUGGUAGCUUCACCUUGUCCCCUGAUAGGAUAGGUGGUGGUAGCUUCACCUUGUCCCCUGAUAGGAUAGGUGGUGGUAGCUUCACCUUGUCCCCUGAUAGGAUAGGUGGUGGUAGCUUCACCUUGUCCCCUGAUAGGAUAGGUGGUGGUAGCUUCACCUUGUCCCCUGACAGGAUAGGUGGUGGUAGCUUCACCUUGUCCCCUGAUAGGAUAGG